This 75-nucleotide ribosomal RNA is filed under the name Shigella flexneri K-272. The record is from RNAcentral. Lineage: Bacteria; Pseudomonadati; Pseudomonadota; Gammaproteobacteria; Enterobacterales; Enterobacteriaceae. RNAcentral also lists the same sequence under 1 other name.
UGGCGGCCGUAGCGCGGUGGUCCCACCUGACCCCAUGCCGAACUCAGAAGUGAAACGCCGUAGCGCCGAUGGUAG